Molecule: ribosomal RNA, 553 nt
Filed under: uncultured archaeon
Lineage: Archaea
Description: bacterial SSU rRNA
Rfam family: Archaeal small subunit ribosomal RNA
Source: RNAcentral
CGGGGUGCAGCAGGCGCGAAAACUUUACAAUGCUGGCAACAGCGAUAAGGGGACCUUGAGUGCCAGGAUACAAUCCUGGCUGUCGUGAUGCCUAAAAAGCAUUAUAUAGCAAGGGCCGGGCAAGACCGGUGCCAGCCGCCGCGGUAACACCGGCGGCUCGAGUGGUAACCGCUAUUAUUGGGUCUAAAGGGUCUGUAGCCGGCUUGGUUAGUCUCUUGGGAAAUCCGGCAGCUUAACUGUCGGGCUUUCAGGAGAUACUGCCAGGCUCGAGACCGGGAGAGGUGAGAGGUACUUCAUGGGUAGGGGUGAAAUCUUGUAAUCCUUGAAGGACCACCAGUGGCGAAGGCGUCUCACCAGAACGGAUCUGACGGCAAGGGACGAAAGCUAGGGGCACGAACCGGAUUAGAUACCCGGGUAGUCCUAGCCGUAAACGUUACUCGCUAGGUGUCGGCCACGGUGCGACCGUGGUCGGUGCCGUAGGGAAGCCGUGAAGCGAGCCACCUGGGAAGUACGGCCGCAAGGCUGAAACUUAAAGGAAUUGGCGGGGGAGCAC